Non-coding RNA from Mycena alexandri, 90 nucleotides. The record is from the annotation of a GenBank genome assembly. Lineage: Eukaryota; Fungi; Basidiomycota; Agaricomycetes; Agaricales; Mycenaceae.
UCGGACGUGGUGUAUGGUACACCGCGAGGCUCUCUCGCUUCUGCAAUGAUCUACACCUCGCAGAACGGGGUUCAACUCCCCGCGUCCGAA